This 64-nucleotide transfer RNA is filed under the name Orthomeria smaragdinum. RNAcentral's name for it is "tRNA-Met". Lineage: Eukaryota; Metazoa; Arthropoda; Insecta; Phasmatodea; Aschiphasmatidae. The record is from RNAcentral.
AGAAAAAUAAGCUAAUUUAAGCUAAUGGGCUCAUACCCCAUCAAUGGUAUUGAACCUUUUUCUA